GCGGGUGUAGCUCAAUGGUAGAGUUCUGGCCUUCCAAGCCAGCUGUGAGGGUUCGAUACCCUUCACCCGCUCCA
This 74-nucleotide transfer RNA is filed under the name Clostridioides sp. ZZV14-6387. RNAcentral describes it as "tRNA-Gly". It matches the Rfam family "tRNA". Rfam says of the family: Transfer RNA (tRNA) molecules are approximately 80 nucleotides in length. Their secondary structure includes four short double-helical elements and three loops (D, anti-codon, and T loops). Further hydrogen bonds mediate the characteristic L-shaped molecular structure. tRNAs have two regions of fundamental functional importance: the anti-codon, which is responsible for specific mRNA codon recognition, and the 3' end, to which the tRNAs corresponding amino acid is attached (by aminoacyl-tRNA synthetases). tRNAs cope with the degeneracy of the genetic code in two manners: having more than one tRNA (with a specific anti-codon) for a particular amino acid; and 'wobble' base-pairing, i.e. permitting non-standard base-pairing at the 3rd anti-codon position. The record is from RNAcentral. Lineage: Bacteria; Bacillati; Bacillota; Clostridia; Peptostreptococcales; Peptostreptococcaceae.